AUUCCAGCUCCAAUAGCGUAUACUAAAGUUGUUGCGAUUAAAAAGCUCGUAGUUGGAUCUCAGGCAUGGGCGCACGGUCCGCCUCGCGGCGGUCACUGUGUGAAUUGUUUUCCCAUCCUACGCUUCCCGGUUGUUCAGCCCAUGGUGCUCUUCAUUGAGCGUUUUGGGUGGCCGGAACGUUUACUUUGAAGAAAUUAGAGUGUUCAAAGCAGGCACAUCGCCUGAAUAAUGGUGCAUGGAAUGAUGGAAUAGGACCUCGGUUCUAUUUUGCUGGUUUUCGGAACACGAGGUAAUGAUUAAGAGGGACAGACGGGGGCAUCCGUAUUGCGGUGUUAGAGGUGAAAUUCUUGGAUCAUCGCAAGACGAACAACUGCGAAAGCAUUUGCCAAGCAUGUUUUCAUCG
This 403-nucleotide ribosomal RNA is filed under the name Lacuna sp. RNAcentral's name for it is "partial small subunit ribosomal RNA". It matches the Rfam family "Eukaryotic small subunit ribosomal RNA", at positions 582 to 975 of the family's 1831-position model. Lineage: Eukaryota; Metazoa; Mollusca; Gastropoda; Littorinimorpha; Lacunidae. The record is from RNAcentral.